AGAGGAGGGGCAAAAGAAGACUGAGAAAGUGAAUCUACAAGCAGACUCCCAGCUGAGCAUGAGCUCCAUGCCCAACACAGAGCCUACCCAGGGCUGUAUCCCAGGGCUCUGAGGACAUGACCUGAGCCAAAACCAAGAGUUGGCCGCUUAACCAACUGAGCCACCCAGGCACACUACAACAUUUAUGUUAUGUGCUGAAAAAAGAAUACUAGAACCAUGAAAAAAAGUAGAUAAAUCUCUAUAAUUGCAACGGGAAGAUGUUUGUGAUGUGUUAAGUAAAACAAAAACAAUUUGAGUGCAAUAGAUUUGGCUUUUGAAAAAUCCAAAAAUCCAAUGUUUGGAAUCUAAACAUUCCAUAAUGAUAUAAGCUCCAUUAGUGCAGCUCUUGGUCUGUGUUGUUCACUGUUGUAUCUAGAACUUUGUGACCCAUGGUACAAUCUCAAUAAAUAUUUGGAAUAAAUAAAUGAGUGACUAUCACACAACAUCUAAGGAACUAUAAACAAAAAAGAUUUAUACAUCUGACUACAUAAAAACUUAAAAGAUUAAAAAAAAUUUUUUUUGGCAUGCUGAACACCACCAUGAACAAAGUCAGCAGACUAAUGAUAAACCUCAAAAAAAAAAAAAAAAAAACAAAAAACAAAAAACCAGGCAUCUAUUCUUUGAUGAGCUCGUACAAAUCAAGAUCAACAACAGCCAUGAAAUAGAAAAGAGGGUAAAGGGUAUCAACAGCCAGUUCCCAGAAAAGGAACUGCAAAGGCUCUUCCUUAUGAUGACUUUUAAGAGAAAAUAAAACUAAACUAAAUUUAAAGGCGAUAACUCAAAAAAAAAAUAAUAAAGGAGACAACUCUUUUCCCAGCUCCCAGCUGACAAAGUUACAUUGUACUAGUGGAAUUGCAAAUUGGCCAAACUUUCGGGAGUAUUUUUGACAAUAUCUAACCAGAAUGUAAAGUGAAUAUAUACUUCGAUCUAGCGGCUCUAAUUCUAAAAAAUCAUCCUGUACAAAUAUCACAUUUGAAAUGACACAACUGUGCAGCUAUUUAUUACAUCAUUGCUUACAACCCCAAAAUACUGAAAAUAACCUAAAUGUUAUAGGAAAAAUGAAUCAACGUGCAGUCUAAAAAAUACCAUGCAGACCUAGAAAAGAGUGAGGGAGCUUUUCGUGUAUAGACAUAUGUUAGGAUCUCCAAAUUAUAUUAAGUGAAAAAGGGACAAACACUGUGUAUAGAAUAUCAUUUCUUUAAAAAAAAGAAAAAAGAAAAAAGUGUUUAUAUGGAGUCCUUUGUCCAGAACAACUUUAAAAAAAUACAGAAGAGAUUGUUGAAGGAGGUUACCUUUGGAAAGAGUGACUGUUUGGUAGGGAAAAGGGAGGAAGGAAGCCUCACUUUACUUCAUAUCUUUUACUCAUUUUAAUCAUAUAUUUUUUAAAAAGUUUAUUUUUUUUUAGUAAUCUCUACACCCAAUGUAGGGCUCUAAUUCACAACCCUGAGAUCAAGAGUCUCAUGCUCUUCCAACUGAGCUGGCCAGGUACCCUGAUAUCAUAUCUAAUAAACAUAAUUAGUACUGAAAUACUAAUUGUAUGAACUUCAUCUUGAAAAAAACAUACAUAGGAGCAUAGACUUCUACUUUUUUUAUCCAGAGCAUAGUACUUACUAUGACAGCCAUUACAACCACCAAAUCAUCUAAAAUAUGUAAUUUGGCUCCAAGUGUGACUUUAUUCUAUGCAAAUGGAUACUGUCUGAUGUACUCUGCCUUAUAGGAAUUCAAAAGCACUUGACCAUUGAUAAGUUGAAUUAAUUGGAUAAAAGACUCAUCUAUGUUUUAAAAAUUCUGUUUAUUUACUUGAGAGAAAAAGAGAGACAGAGAUAGAGAGAGCAUGGUGGCGGAGGGCAGAGGGAGAGGGAGAAGCAGACUGUCUGCUGAGCAGGGAGCCUGAUGCAGGCCAAUCCCAGGAGCCCAGGAUCAUGACCAGAGCUGAAGGUAGACACUUAACUGACUGAGCCACCAGGGGCCCCAAGAUUCUUUCAUCUUGAUCCAGUUA
Molecule: transfer RNA, 2038 nt
Filed under: Canis lupus familiaris (dog)
Lineage: Eukaryota; Metazoa; Chordata; Mammalia; Carnivora; Canidae
Description: lncRNA (ENSCAFG00000051916.1)
Source: RNAcentral